CCCUUAGAUGUCCUGGGCUGCACGCGCGCUACACUGAUGUGUCCAGUAAGCACCUAACCUCUUCCGAAAGGAACGGGUAACCUUUGCAAAGCACAUCGUGAUGGGGAUAGAUUAUUGCAAUUAUUAGUCUUGAACGAGGAAUUCCUAGUAAACGCAAGUCAUCAGCUUGCAUUGAUUACGUCCCUGCCCUUUGUACACACCGCCCGUCGCACCUACCGAUUGAAUGGUCCGGUGAAAUCUUCGGAUUGAGACUUUGAUUUCUUCACGGAAAACGCUGUUUUAAGAAGUUGAUUAAACCUUACCAUUUAGAGGAAGGUGAAGUCGUAACA
This 329-nucleotide ribosomal RNA is filed under the name uncultured eukaryote. RNAcentral's name for it is "partial 18S ribosomal RNA". It matches the Rfam family "Eukaryotic small subunit ribosomal RNA", at positions 1470 to 1796 of the family's 1831-position model. The record is from RNAcentral.